AGUUUUUGGAACCCUUUAGAAGUGGGUACGUGUCAGUGGUUUAUUGGAAGUAAAAUUUAGCAAAAGAGAAAGAAAAAAACUCACCCGCGUUAUCUCUCUCUUUUUCCCGAAACGACUCUCUCUAACUCUUCAUCGCCUUCGCCGAUUUCGAUCUCGCCGAUGUCAAUGCUGAGUUCACCUCUGUUUGAUUGAUAUGAGAAUCAGUUGAUUGAGAGGAGAAUCUACUGCCGGUUUCAUCAUCUCUACCGCCAGAUUGUUUAAACUCCACUGCCGAUUGAACCGUCUCCAUCGAGUCGGAGAUUUAGACUCGAAAUCAGAGAGAUUUCGUUGAAGGAUGCUCCAAUAUCCGUCUCAUGAUUGGUUCUACUACAAUUGGAGUAAAGACUAACGAAUGAGUUUGCUUGCUGUGAAGAAGCAUAUCACUUCACCGUUGCUGGGAUUAUCGACUGCUUCUGAUGAUCUCGUAUGGUGAGCCAUUAAUGCAGAGUCCACAACACAAGGGCUAUGUUUCAUAAUCGAGAUCUCUCAUCUCACAACUUUGUAUGUGUUAUUCACUUGAUUGUAUUACAAGUGUUGAAUUUACAAAAAUUUAAAUUUUUAGAACCAAAUGGUUCUACCAUUAGAGCAAAAAAAACUUUUAGAAUCUCAUGUAUCUAAACUUACUUUUUGCAUUAUUUUUAUUGUUUUUAACAAAAAAUUUAGAACCAUUUGGUUCUACGGCAGGUGAUGCUCUAGAUCUAAUGGAGACCCAUAUUAUUUA
Long non-coding RNA from Camelina sativa (false flax), 760 nucleotides. RefSeq lists it as uncharacterized. The record is from RefSeq and is a predicted model, not a curated record. Lineage: Eukaryota; Viridiplantae; Streptophyta; Magnoliopsida; Brassicales; Brassicaceae.